GGAUUUGUAUCAGCUCUUUUGGUAGGUAAAUGCAAUCGAUUGGUCGAGAACCAACUCAAGAAAGAGUAAGCCCAAGAUUGAACAAGUUGUAUUGCGGUAGGAGUUGGCCGGCCAUAUACAACCCCUGUAUAGCAGGACUGACGUCCGUUGGUAGCUAGGGUUGGGGGCAUCAUGCAGUUCUUUUUUUAGACCGGAUCUAGACCGGCCCACAGGCUUUCCCUUAUUCUGAUCAGUCGAGUAGAAGAUUGGGUUUUGGGUUAGGG
Long non-coding RNA from Alnus glutinosa, 263 nucleotides. RefSeq lists it as uncharacterized. The transcript is spliced from 3 exons. NCBI's taxonomy places the organism in Eukaryota, Viridiplantae, Streptophyta, Magnoliopsida, Fagales, Betulaceae. The record is from RefSeq and is a predicted model, not a curated record.